This 205-nucleotide ribosomal RNA is filed under the name uncultured bacterium. Its description in RNAcentral is "partial 16S ribosomal RNA". It matches the Rfam family "Bacterial small subunit ribosomal RNA", at positions 568 to 774 of the family's 1533-position model. The record is from RNAcentral.
UGCGCAGGCGGUUCUGUAAGACAGAUGUGAAAUCCCCGGGCUCAACCUGGGAAUUGCAUUUGUGACUGCAGGACUAGAGUUCAUCAGAGGGGGGUGGAAUUCCAAGCGUAGCAGUGAAAUGCGUAGAUAUUUGGAAGAACACCAAUGGCGAAGGCAGCCCCCUGGGAUGCGACUGACGCUCAUGCACGAAAGCUGGGAGCAAACA